RNAcentral lists this ribosomal RNA (499 nucleotides) under uncultured bacterium. RNAcentral describes it as "partial 16S ribosomal RNA". It matches the Rfam family "Bacterial small subunit ribosomal RNA", at positions 899 to 1397 of the family's 1533-position model. The record is from RNAcentral.
ACUCAAAUGAAUUGACGGGGGCCCGCACAAGCGGUGGAGCAUGUGGUUUAAUUCGAUGCAACGCGAAGAACCUUACCUACCCUUGACAUCCUCGGGAUCUUGCAGAAAUGUGAGAGUGCCUUCGGGAGCCGAGAGACAGGUGCUGCAUGGCUGUCGUCAGCUCGUGUCGUGAGAUGUUGGGUUAAGUCCCGUAACGAGCGCAACCCUUGUCCCUAGUUGCCAGCGGGUAAAGCCGGGAACUUUAGGGAGACUGCCGGUGACAAACCGGAGGAAGGUGGGGAUGACGUCAAGUCAUCAUGGCCUUUAUGGGUAGGGCUACACACGUGCUACAAUGGGAAAUACAGAGGGUCGCCAACCCGCGAGGGGGAGCCAAUCUCAAAAAAUUUCUCGUAGUCCGGAUUGGAGUCUGCAACUCGACUCCAUGAAGUUGGAAUCGCUAGUAAUCGCGAAUCAGAACGUCGCGGUGAAUACGUUCCCGGGCCUUGUACACACCGCCCGU